GCUUGGAGCUGGAGUUGAACCAGGGACCUUUGGACCACAGCGUUUCAGGAACUUCUUAAAGUCCUCUGCUCUACCAAAUGAGCUAUGAAGGUGCUUAUAGACACAAACGCAGAAAACAUAGUGGCUUCCGCGACACUCUUUGCCGACAUAACUAUUGAACCAACAUGGUCAAUGAAAAAGGUUGAACAGUGCAUACACCAAUGAAAUCUGGUGUUUGGAGCUGGAGUUGAACUAGCGACCUUUGGACAACAGCGUUUCAGGAACUUCUUAAAGUCAUGUGAUCUACCAACUGAGCUAUGAAGGUGCUUAUUGACACAAACGCAGAAAACAUAGUAGCUUCGGCGACACACUUUGCCAACAUAACUAUUGGACCCACAUGGUCAAUGAAAAAGGUUGAACAGUGCAUACACCAAUGAAAUCUGGUGUUUGGAGCUGGAGUUGAACCAGCGAUGUUUGGACCACAGCUUUUUAGGAACUUCUUAAAGUGAUGUGCUCUACCAACUGAGCUAUGAAGGUGCUUAUAGACACAAACGCAGAAAACAUAGUGGCUUCGGCGACACACUUUGCCAACAUAACUAUUGAACCAACAUGGUCAAUGAAAAAGGUUGAACAGUGCAUACACCAAUGAAAUCUGGUGUUUGGAGCUGGAGUUGAACCAGCGUCCUUUGGACCACAGCGUUUAAGGAACUUCUUAAAGUCAUGUGCUCUACCAACUGAGCUAUGAAGGUGCUUAUAGAUAAAAACGCAGAAAACAUAGUGGCUUCGGCGACACACUUUGCCAAGACAACAAUCAAGCCACCUGGUCAAUGAAAAAGGAUGAACAGUGCAUAUACAAAUGAAAUCUGGUGCUUGGAGCUGGAGUUGAACCAGGGACCUUUGGACCACAGCGUUUCAGGAACUUCUUACAGUCAUGUGCUCUACCAACUGAGCUAUGAAGGUGCUUAUAGAUGAAAACGCAGAAAACAUAGUGGCUUCGGCGACACACUUUGCCAACACAACAAUCAAGCCACCUGGUCAAUGAAAAAGGUUGAACAGUGCAUAGACCAAUGAAAUCUGGUGUUUGGAGCAGGAGUUGAACAAGCGACCUUUGGACCACAGCGUUUCAGGAACUUCUUAAAGUCAUGUGCUCUACCAACUGAGCUAUGAAGGUGCUUAUAGAUAAAAACGCAGAAAACAUAGUGGCUUCGGCGACACACUUUGCCAAAACAACAAUCAAGCCACCUGGUCAAUGAAAAAGGAUGAACAGUGCAUAGACCAAUGAAAUGUGGUGUUUGGAGCAGGAGUUGAACCAGCGACCUUUGGACCACAGCGUUUCGGGAACUUCUUAAAGUCAUGUGCUCUACCAACUGAGCUAUGAAGGUGCUUAUAGAUAAAAACGCAGAAAACAUAGUGGCUUCGGCGACACACUUUGCCAAAACAACAAUCAAGCCACGUGGUCAAUGAAAAAGGAUGAACAGUGCAUAUACAAAUGAAAUCUGGUGCUUGGAGCUGGAGUUGAACCAGCGACCUUUGGACCACAGCGUUUUAGGAACUUCUUAAAGUCAUGUGCUCUACCAACUGAGCUAUGAAGGUGCUUAUAGAUAAAAACGCAGAAAACAUAGUGGCUUCGGCGACACACUUUGCCAACAUAACUAUUGAACCAACAUGGUCAAUGAAAAAGGUUGAACAGUGCAUAGACCAAUGAAAUGUGGUGUUUGGAGCAGGAGUUGAACCAGCGUCCUUUGGACCACAGCGUUUCAGGAACUUCUUAAAGUCAUGUGCUCUACCAAAUGAGCUAUGAAGGUGCUUAUAGACACAAACGCAGAAAACAUAGUGGCUUCGGCGACACACUUUGCCAACAAUACAAUUGGACCCACAUGGUCAAUGAAAAAGGUUGAACAGUGCAUAGACCAAUGAAAUCUGGUGUUUGGAGCAGGAGUUGAACCAGCGUCCUUUGGACCACAGCGUUUCAGGAACUUCUUAAAGUCAUGUGCUCUACCAACUGAGCUAUGAAGGUGCUUAUAGAUAAAAACGCAGAAAACAUAGUGGCUUCGGCGACACACUUUGCCAACAUAACUAUUGAACCAACAUGGUCAAUGAAAAAGGAUGAACAGUGCAUAUACAAAUGAAAUCUGGUGCUUGGAGCUGGAGUUGAACCAGGGACCUUUGGACCACAGCGUUUCAGGAACUUCUUAAAGUCAUGUGCUCUACCAACUGAGCUAUGAAGGUGCUUAUAGAUAAAAACGCAGAAAACAUAGUGGCUUCGGCGACACACUUUGCCAACAUAACUAUUGAACCAACAUGGUCAAUGAAAAAGGUUGAACAGUGCAUACACCAAUGAAAUCUGGUGCUUGGAGCUGGAGUUGAACCAGCGUCCUUUGGACCACAGCGUUUCAGGAACUUCUUAAAGUCAUGUGCUCUACCAACUGAGCUAUGAAGGUGCUUAUAGAUAAAAACGCAGAAAACAUAGUGGCUUCGGCGACACACUUUUCCAACAAUACAAUUGGACCCACAUGGUCAAUGAAAAAGGUUGAACAGUGCUUAGACAAAUGAAAUCUGGUGUUUGGAGCAGGAGUUGAACCAGCGACCUUUGGACAACAGCGUUUCAGGAACUUCUUAAAGUCAUGUGCUCUACCAACUGAGCUAUGAAGGUGCUUAUAGAUAAAAACGCAGAAAACAUAGUGGCUUCGGCGACACACUUUGCCAAAACAACAAUCAAGCCACCUGGUCAAUGAAAAAGGAUGAAUAGUGCAUAUACAAAUGAAAUCUGGUGCUUGGAGCUGGAGUUGAACCAGGGACCUUUGGACCACAGCGUUUCAGGAACUUCUUAAAGUCAUGUGCUCUACCAACUGAGCUAUGAAGGUGCUUAUAGAUAAAAACGCAGAAAACAUAGUGGCUUCGGCGACACACUUUGCCAACAAUACAAUUGGACCCACAUGGUCAAUGAAAAAGGUUGAACAGUGCUUAGACAAAUGAAAUCUGGUGUUUGGAGCAGGAGUUCAACCAGCGACCUUUGGACCACAGCGUUUCAGGAACUUCUUAAAGUCAUGUGCUCUACCAACUGAGCUAUGAAGGUGCUUAUAGAUAAAAACGCAGAAAACAUAGUGGCUUCGGCGACACACUUUGCCAAAACAACAAUCAAGCCACCUGGUCAAUGAAAAAGGAUGAACAGUGCAUAUACAAAUGAAAUCUGGUGCUUGGAGCUGGAGUUGAACCAGGGACCUUUGGACCACAGCGUUUCAGGAACUUCUUAAAGUCAUGUGCUCUACCAACUGAGCUAUGAAGGUGCUUAUAGAUAAAAACGCAGAAAACAUAGUGGCUUCGGCGACACACUUUGCCAACAUAACUAUUGAACCAACAUGGUCAAUGAAAAAGGUUGAACAGUGCAUAUACAAAUGAAAUCUGGUGCUUGGAGCUGGAGUUGAACCAGGGACCUUUGGACCACAGCGUUUCAGGAACUGCUUACAGUCAUGUGCUCUACCAACUGAGCUAUGAAGGUGCUUAUAGACACAAACGCAGAAAACAUAGUGGCUUCGGUGACACACUUUGCCAACACAACAAUCAAGCCACCUGGUCAAUGAAAAAGGUUGAACAGUGCUUAGACCAAUGAAAUCUGGUGUUUGGAGCAGGAGUUGAACCAGCGACCUUUGGACCACAGCCUUACAGGAACUUCUUAAAGUCAUGUGCUCUAGCAACAGAGCUAUGAAGGAUGAAAACGCAGAAAACAUAGUGGCUUCGGCGACACACUUUGCCAAAACAACAAUCAAGCCACCUGGUCAUUGAAAAAGGAUGAACAGUGCAUAUACAAAUGAAAUCUGGUGAUUGGAGCUAGAUGAACCAGGGACCUUUGGACCACAGCGUUUCAGGAACUUCUUAAAGUCAUGUGCUCUACCAACUGAGCUAUGAAGGUGCUUAUAGAUGAAAACGCAGAAAACAUAGUGGCUUUUGGCGACACACUUUGCCAACACAACAAUCAAGCCACCUGGUCAAUGAAAAAGGAUGAACAGUGCAUAUACAAAUGACAACUGGAUGCUUGGAGCUGGAGUUGAACCAGCGACCUUUGGACCACAGCGUUUCGGGAACUUCUUAAAGUCAUGUGCUCUACCAACUGAGCUAUGAAGGUGCUUAUAGAUAAAAACGCAGAAAACAUAGUGGCUUCGACGACACACUUUGCCAAAACAACAAUAAAGCCACCUGGUCAAUGAAAAAGGAUGAACAGUGCAUAUACAAAUGAAAUCUGGUGCUUGGAGCUGGAGUUGAACCAGCGACCUUUGGACCACAGCGUUUUAGGAACUUCUUAAAGUCAUGUGCUCUACCAACUGAGCUAUGAAGGUGCUAAUAGAUAAAAACGCAGAAAACAUAGUGGCUUCGGCGACACACUUUGCCAACAUAACUAUUGAACCAACAUGGUCAAUGAAAAAGGAUGAACAGUGCAUAUACAAAUGAAAUCUGGUGCUUGGAGCUGGAGUUGAACCAGCGACCUUUGGACCACAGCGAUUCAGGAACUUCUUAAAGUCAUGUGCUCUACAAUCUGAGCUAUGAAGGUUUUUAUAAACACAUAGCAGAAAACAUAGUGGCUUCGGCGACACACUUUGCAAACAUAACUAUUGAACCAACAUGGUCAAUGAAAAAGGUUGAACAGUGCAUACAACAAUGAAAUCUGGUGUUUGGAGCUGGAGUUGAACCAGCAUCCUUUGGACCACAGCGUUUCAGGAACUUCUUAAAGUCAUGUGCUCUACCAACUGAGCUAUGAAGGUGCUUAUAGAUAAAAACGCAGAAAACAUAGUGGCUUCGGCGACACACUUUGCAAACAAUACAAUUGGACCCACAUGGUCAAUGAAAAAGGUUGAACAGUGCAUAGACCAAUGAAAUGUGGUGUUUGGAGCAAGAGUUGAACCAGCGACCUUUGGACCACAGCGUUUCAGGAACUUCUUAAAGUCAUGUGCUCUACCAACUGAGCUAUGAAGGUGCUUAUAGAUGAAAACGCAGAAAACAUAGUGGCUUCGGCGACACACUUUGCCAAAACAACAAUCAAGCCACCUGGUCAAUGAAAAAGGAUGAACAGUGCAUAUACAAAUGACAACUGGAUGCUUGGAGCUGGAGUUGAACCAGCGACCUUUGGACCACAGCGUUUCGGGAACUUCUUAAAGUCAUGUGCUCUACCAACUGAGCUAUGAAGGUGCUUAUAGAUGAAAACGCAGAAAACAUAGUGGCUUCGGCGACACACUUUGCCAAAACAACAAUCAAGCCACCUGGUCAUUGAAAAAGGAUGAACAGUGCAUAUACAAAUGAAAUCUGGUGAUUGGAGCUAGAUGAACCAGGGACCUUUGGACCACAGCGUUUCAGGAACUUCUUAAAGUCAUGUGGUCUACCAACUGAGCUAUGAAGGUGCUUAUAGAUACAACCGCAGAAAACAUAGUGGCUUCGGCGACACACUUUGCCGACAUAACUAUUGGACCCACAUGGUCAAUGAAAAAGGAUGAACAGUGCAUAUACCAAUGAAAUCUGGUGCUUGGAGCUGGAGUUGAACCAGCAACCUUUGGACCACAGCGUUUCAGGAACUUCUUAAAGUCCUCUGCUCUACCAAAUGAGCUAUGAAGGUGCUUAUAGACACAAACGCAGAAAACAUAGUGGCUUCCGCGACACUCUUUGCCGACAUAACUAUUGAACCAACAUGGUCAAUGAAAAAGGUUGAACAGUGCAUAAACCAAUGAAAUCUGGUGUUUGGAGCAGGAGUUGAACCAGCGACCUUUGGACCACAGCGUUUCAGGAACUUCUUAAAGUCAUGUGCUCUACCAACUGAGCUAUGAAGGUGCUUAUAAAUAAAACCGCAGAAAACAUAGUGGCUUCGGCGACACACUUUGCCAACAUAACUAUUGAACCAACAUGGUCAAUGAAAAAGGUUGAACAGUGCAUAUACAAAUGAAAUCUGGUGCUUGGAGCUGGAGUUGAAACAGCAACCUUUGGACCACAGCGUUUCAGGAACUUCUUAAAGUCAUGUGCUCUACCAACUGAGCUAUGAAGGUGCUUAUAGACACAAACGCAGAAAACAUAGUGGCUUCGGCGACACACUUUGCCAACAUAACUAUUGAACCAACAUGGUCAAUGAAAAAGGUUGAACAGUGCAUACACCAAUGAAAUCUGGUGUUUGGAGCUGGAGUUGAACCAGCGUCCUUUGGACCACAGCGUUUAAGGAACUUCUUAAAGUCAUGUGCUCUACCAACUGAGCUAUGAAGGUGCUUAUAGAUAAAAACGCAGAAAACAUAGUGGCUUCGGCGACACACUUUGCCAACAUAACUAUUGGACCCACAUGGUCAAUGAAAAAGGUUGAACAGUGCAUAUACAAAUGAAAUCUGGUGCUUGGAGCAGGAGUUGAACCAGGGACCUUUGGACCACAGCGUUUCAGGAACUUCUUACAGUCAUGUGCUCUACCAACUGAGCUAUGAAGGUGCUUAUAGAUGAAAACGCAGAAAACAUAGUGGCUUCGGCGACACACUUUGCCAACACAACAAUCAAGCCACCUGGUCAAUGAAAAAGGUUGAACAGUGCAUAGACCAAUGAAAUCUGGUGUUUGGAGCAGGAGUUGAACCAGCGACCUUUGGACCACAGCGUUUAAGGAACUUCUUAAAGUCAUGUGCUCUACCAACUGAGCUAUGAAGGUGCUUAUAGAUACAACCGCAGAAAACAUAGUGGCUUCGGCGACACACUUUGCCGACAUAACUAUUGGACCCACAUGGUCAAUGAAAAAGGAUGAACAGUGCAUAUACCAAUGAAAUUUGGUGCUUGGAGCUGGAGUUGAACCAGCGACCUUUGGACCACAGCGUUUCAGGAACUUCUUAAAGUCCUCUGCUCUACCAAAUGAGCUAUGAAGGUGCUUAUAGACACAAACGCAGAAAACAUAGUGGCUUCCGCGACACUCUUUGCUGACAUAACUAUUGAACCAACAUGGUCAAUGAAAAAGGUUGAACAGUGCAUACACCAAUGAAAUCUGGUGUUUGGAGCUGGAGUUGAACUAGCGACCUUUGGACCACAGCGUUUCAGGAACUUCUUAAAGUCAUGUGCUCUACCAACUGAGCUAUGAAGGUGCUUAUUGACACAAACGCAGAAAACAUAGUGGCUUCGGCGACACACUUUGCCAACAUAACUAUUGGACCCACAUGGUCAAUGAAAAAGGUUGAACAGUGCAUACACCAAUGAAAUCUGGUGUUUUGAGCUGGAGUUGAACCAGCGAUGUUUGGACCACAGCUUUUUAGGAACUUCUUAAAGUCAUGUGCUCUAGCAACUGAGCUAUGAAGGUGGUUAUAGAUAGGAACGCAGAAAACAUAGUGGCUUCGGCGACACACUUUGCCAACAUAACUAUUGAACCAACAUGGUCAAUGAAAAAGGUUGAACAGUGCAUACACCAAUGAAAUCUGGUGUUUGGAGCUGGAGUCGAACCAGCGUCCUUUGGACCACAGCGUUUAAGGAACUUCUUAAAGUCAUGUGCUCUACCAACUGAGCUAUGAAGGUGCUUAUAGAUAAAAACGCAGAAAACAUAGUGGCUUCGGCGACACACUUUGCCAAAACAACAAUCAAGCCACCUGGUCAAUGAAAAAGGAUGAACAGUGCAUAUACAAAUGAAAUCUGGUGCUUGGAGCUGGAGUUGAACGAGGGACCUUUGGACCACAGCGUUUCAGGAACUUCUUACAGUCAUGUGCUCUACCAACUGAGCUAUGAAGGUGCUUAUAGAUGAAAACGCAGAAAACAUAGUGGCUUCGGCGACACACUUUGCCAACACAAUAAUCAAGCCACCUGGUCAAUGAAAAAGGUUGAACAGUGCAUAGACCAAUGAAAUGUGGUGUUUGGAGCAGGAGUUGAACAAGCGACCUUUGGACCACAGCGUUUCGGGAACUUCUUAAAGUCAUGUGCUCUACCAACUGAGCUAUGAAGGUGCUUAUAGAUAAAAACGCAGAAAACAUAGUGGCUUCGGCGACACACUUUGCCAAAACAACAAUCAGGCCACCUGGUCAAUGAAAAAGGAUGAACAGUGCAUAUACAAAUGAAAUCUGGUGGUUGGAGCUGGAGUUGAACCAGCGACCUUUGGACCACAGCGUUUUAGGAACUUCUUAAAGUCAUGUGCUCUACCAACUGAGCUAUGAAGGUGCUUAUAGAUAAAAACGCAGAAAACAUAGUUGCUUCGGCGACACACUUUGCCAACAUAACUAUUGAUCCAACAUGGUCAAUGAAAAAGGUUGAACAGUGCAUAGACCAAUGAAAUGUGGUGUUUGAAGCAGGAGUUGAACCAGCGUCCUUUGGACCACAGCGUUUCAGGAACUUCUUAAAGUCAUGUGCUCUACCAACUGAGCUAUGAAGGUGCUUAUAGACACAAACGCAGAAAACAUAGUGGCUUCGGCGACACACUUUGCCAACAUAACUAUUGAACCAACAUGGUCAAUGAAAAAGGUUGAACAGUGCAUAUACAAAUGAAAUCUGGUGUUUGGAGCUGGAGUUGAACCAGCAACCUUUGGACCACAGCGUUUCAGGAACUUCUUAAAGUCAUGUGCUCUACCAACUGAGCUAUGAAGGUGCUUAUAGAUAAAAACGCAGAGAACAUAGUGGCUUCGGCGACACACUUUGCCACCAUAACUAUUGAACCAACAUGGUCAAUGAAAAAGGUUGAACAGUGCAUACACCAAUGAAAUCUGGUGUUUGGAGCUGGAGUUGAACCAGCGUCCUUUGGACCACAGCGUUUAAGGAACUUCUUAAAGUCAUGUGCUCUACCAACUGAGCUAUGAAGGUGCUUAUAGAUAAAAACGCAGAAAACAUAGUGGCUUCGGCGACACACUUUGCCAACAAUACAAUUGGACCCACAUGGUCAAUGAAAAAGGUUGAACAGUGCUUAGACAAAUGAAAUCUGGUGUUUGGAGAUGGAGUUGAACCAGCGACCUUUGGACCACAGCGUUUCAGGAACUUCUUACAGUCAUGUGCUCUACCAACUGAGCUAUGAAGGUGCUUAUAGAUAAAAACGCAGAAAACAUAGUGGCUUCGGCGACACACUUUGCCAAAACAACAAUCAAGCCACCUGGUCAAUGAAAAAGGAUGAACAGUGCAUAUACAAAUGAAAUCUGGUGCUUGGAGCUGGAGUUGAACCAGGGACCUUUGGACAACAGCGUUUCAGGAACUUCUUACAGUCAUGUGCUCUACCAACUGAGCUAUGAAGGUGCUUAUAGAUGAAAACGCAGAAAACAUAGUGGCUUCGGCGACACACUUUGCCAACACAACAAUCAAGCCACCUGGUCAAUGAAAAAGGUUGAACAGUGCAUAAAUCAAUGAAAUCUGGUGUUUGGAGCAGGAGUUGAACCAGCGACCUUUGGACCACAGCAUUUCAGGAACUUCUUAAAGUCAUGUGCUCUACCAACUGAGCUAUGAAGGUCCUUUUAGAUAAAAACGCAGAAAACAUAGUGGCUUCGGCGACACACUUUGCCAAAACAACAAUCAAGCCACCUGGUCAAUGAAAAAGGUUGAACAGUGCAUAUACAAAUGACAACUGGAUGCUUGGAGCUGGAGUUCAACCAGCGACCUUUGGACCACAGCGUUUCAGGAACUUCUUAAAGUCAUGUGCUCUACCAACUGAGCUAUGAAGGUGCUUAUAGACACAAACGCAGAAAACAUAGUGGCUUCGGCGACACACUUUGCCAACAAUACAAUUGGACCCACAUGGUCAAUGAAAAAGGUUGAACAGUGCAUAGACCAAUGAAAUCUGGUGUUUGGAGCUGGAGUUGAACCAGCGACCUUUGGACCACAGCGUUUCAGGAACUUCUUAAAGUCAUGUGCUCUACCAACUGAGCUAUGAAGGUGCUUAUAGAUAAAAACGCAGAAAACAUAGUGGCUUCGGCGACACACUUUGCCAAAACAACAAUCAAGCCACCUGGUCAAUGAAAAAGGAUGAACAGUGCAUAUACAAAUGAAAUCUGGUGCUUGGAGCUGGAGUUGAACCAGAGACCUUUGGACCACAGCGUUUCAGGAACUUCUUAAAGUCAUGUGCUCUACCAACUGAGCUAUGAAGGUGCUUAUAGAUAAAAACGCAGAAAACAUAGUGGCUUCGGCGACACACUUUGCCAACACAACAAUCAAGCCACCUGGUCAAUGAAAAAGGUUGAACAGUGCAUAGACCAAUAAAAUCUGGUGUUUGGAGCAGGAGUUGAAGCAGCGACCUUUGGACCACAGCAUUUCAGGAACUUCUUAAAGUCAUGUGCUCUACCAACUGAGCUAUGAAGGUGCUUAUAGAUAAAAACGCAGAAAACAUAGUGGCUUCGGCGACACACUUUGCCAACAUAACUAUUGAACUAACAUGGUCAAUGAAAAAGGUUGAACAGUGCAUACACAAAUGAAAUCUGGUGUUUGGAGCUGGAGUUGAACCAGCGACCUUUGGACCACAGCGUUUUAGGAACUUCUUAAAGUCAUGUGCUCUACCAACUGAGCUAUGAAGGUCCUUUUAGAUAAAAACGCAGAAAACAUAGUGGCUUCGGCGACACACUUUGCCAAAACAACAAUCAAGCCACCUGGUCAAUGAAAAAGGAUGAACAGUGCAUAUACAAAUGAAAUCUGGUGCUUGGAACUGGAGUUGAACCAGCGACCUUUGGACCACAGCGUUUCAGGAACUUCUUAAACACAUGUGCUCUACCAACUGAGCUAUGAAGGUGCUUAUAGAUAAAAACGCAGAAAACAUAGUAGCUUCGGCGACACACUUUGCCAAAACAACAAUCAAGCCACCUGGUCAAUGAAAAAGGAUGAACAGUGCAUAUACAAAUGAAAUCUGGUGCUUGGAGCUGGAGUUGAACCAGCGACCUUUGGACCACAGCGUUUCAGGAACUUCUUAAAGUCAUGUGCUCUACCAACUGAGCUAUGAAGGUGCUUAUAGAUAAAAACGCAGAAAACAUAGUGGCUUCGGCGACACACUUUGCCAAAACAACAAUCAAGCCACCUGGUCAAUGAAAAAGGAUGAACAGUGCAUAUACAAAUGAAAUCGGGUGCUUGGAACUGGAGUUGAACCAGCGACCUUUGGACCACAGCGUUUCAGGAACUUCUUAAAGUCAUGUGCUCUACCAACUGAGCUAUGAAGGUGCUUAUAGAUAAAAACGCAGAAAACAUAGUGGCUUCGGCGACACACUUUGCCAACAUAACUAUUGAACCAACAUGGUCAAUGAAAAAGGUUGAACAGUGCAUAGACCAAUGAAAUGUGGUGUUUGGAGCAGGAGUUAAACCAGCGUCCUUUGGACCACAGCGUUUCAGGAACUUCUUAAAGUCAUGUGCUCUACCAACUGAGCUAUGAAGGUGCUUAUAGACACAAACGCAGAAAACAUAGUGGCUUCGGCGACACACUUUGCCAACAAUACAAUUGGACCCACAUGGUCAAUGAAAAAGGUUGAACAGUGCAUAGACCAAUGAAAUCUGUUGUUUGGAGCAGGAGUUGAACCAGCGACCUUUGGACCACAGCGUUUCAGGAACUUCUUAAAGUCAUGUGCUCUACCAACUGAGCUAUGAAGGUGCUUAUAGAUAAAAACGCAGAAAACAUAGUGGCUUCGGCGACACACUUUGCCAACAUAACUAUUGAACCAACAUGGUCAAUGAAAAAGGUUGAACAGUGCAUAUACAAAUGAAAUCUGGUGUUUGGAGCUGGAGUUGAACCAGCGACCUUUGGACCACAGCGUUUCAGGAACUUCUUAAAGUCAUGUGCUCUACCAACUGAGCUAUGAAGGUGCUUAUAGAUAAGAACGCAGAAAACAUAGUGGCUUCGGCGACACACUUUGCCAACAUAACUAUUGAACCAACAUGGUCAAUGAAAAAGGUUGAACAGUGCAUAAAUGAAUGAAAUCUGGUGUUUGGAGCAGGAGUUGAACCAGCGACCUUUGGACCACAGCAUUUCAGGAACUUCUUAAAGUCAUGUGCUCUUCCAACUGAGCUAUGAAGGUCCUUUUAGAUAAAAACGCAGAAAACAUAGUGGCUUCGGCGACACACUUUGCCAAAACAACAAUCAAGCCACCUGGUCAAUGAAAAAGGAUGAACAGUGCAUAUACAAAUGAAAACUGGAUGCUUGGAGCUGGAGUUGAACCAGCGACCUUAGGACCAUAGCGUUUCAGGAACUUCUUAAAGUCAUGUGCUCUACCAACUGAGCUAUGAAGGUGCUUAUAGAUAAAAACGCAGAAAACAUAGUGGCUUCGGCGACACACUUUGCCAAAACAACAAUCAAGCCACCUGGUCAAUGAAAAAGGAUGAACAGUGCAUAUACAAAUGAAAUCUGUUGCUUGGAGCUGGAGUUGAACCAGGGAGCUUUGGAGCACAGCGUUUAAGGAACUUCUUAAACACAUGUGCUCUACCAACUGAGCUAUGAAGGUGCUUAUAGAUAAAAACGCAGAAAACAUAGUGGCUUCGGCGACACACUUUGCCAAAACAACAAUCAAGCCACCUGGUCAAUGAAAAAGGAUGAACAGUGCAUAUACAAAUGAAAUCUGGUGCUUGGAGCUGGAGUUGAACCAGGGACCUUUGGACAACAGCGUUUCAGGAACUUCUUACAGUCAUGUGCUCUACCAACUGAGCUAUGAAGGUGCUUAUAGAUGAAAACGCAGAAAACAUAGUGGCUUCGGCGACACACUUUGCCAACACAACAAUCAAGCCACCUGGUCAAUGAAAAAGGUUGAACAGUGCAUAAAUCAAUGAAAUCUGGUGUUUGGAGCAGGAGUUGAACCAGCGACCUUUGGACCACAGCAUUUCAGGAACUUCUUAAAGUCAUGUGGUCUACCAACUGAGCUAUGAAGGUCCUUUUAGAUAAAAACGCAGAAAACAUAGUGGCUUCGGCGACACACUUUGCCAAAACAACAAUCAAGCCACCUGGUCAAUGAAAAAGGUUGAACAGUGCAUAUACAAAUGACAACUGGAUGCUUGGAGCUGGAGUUCAACCAGCGACCUUUGGACCACAGCGUUUCAGGAACUUCUUAAAGUCAUGUGCUCUACCAACUGAGCUAUGAAGGUGCUUAUAGACACAAACGCAGAAAACAUAGUGGCUUCGGCGACACACUUUGCCAACAAUACAAUUGGACCCACAUGGUCAAUGAAAAAGGUUGAACAGUGCAUAGACCAAUGAAAUCUGGUGUUUGGAGCUGGAGUUGAACCAGCGACCUUUGGACCACAGCGUUUCAGGAACUUCUUAAAGUCAUGUGCUCUACCAACUGAGCUAUGAAGGUGCUUAUAGAUAAAAACGCAGAAAACAUAGUGGCUUCGGCGACACACUUUGCCAAAACAACAAUCAAGCCACCUGGUCAAUGAAAAAGGAUGAACAGUGCAUAUACAAAUGAAAUCUGUUGUUUGGAGCAGGAGUUGAACCAGCGACCUUUGGACCACAGCGUUUCAGGAACUUCUUAAAGUCAUGUGCUCUACCAACUGAGCUAUGAAGGUGCUUAUAGAUAAAAACGCAGAAAACAUAGUGGCUUCGGCGACACACUUUGCCAAAACAACAAUCAAGCCACCUGGUCAAUGAAAAAGGAUGAACAGUGCAUAUACAAAUUAAAUCUGUUGUUUGGAGCAGGAGUUGAACCAGCGACCUUUGGACCACAGCGUUUCAGGAACUUCUUAAAGUCAUGUGCUCUACCAACUGAGCUAUGAAGGUGCUUAUAGAUAAAAACGCAGAAAACAUAGUGGCUUCGGCGACACACUUUGCCAACACAACAAUCAAGCCACCUGGUCAAUGAAAAAGGUUGAACAGUGCAUAGACCAAUGAAAUCUGGUGUUUGGAGCUGGAGUUGAACAAGCGACCUUUGGACCACAGCGUUUCAGGAACUUCUUAAAGUCAUGUGCUCUACCAACUGAGCUAUGAAGGUGCUUAUAGAUAAAAACGCAGAAAACAUAGUGGCUUCGGCGACACACUUUGCCAAAACAACAAUCAAGCCACCUGGUCAAUGAAAAAGGAUGAACAGUGCAUAUACAAAUGAAAUCUGGUGCUUGGAGCUGGAGUUGAACCAGGGACCUUUGGACCACAGCGUUUCAGGAACUUCUUACAGUCAUGUGCUCUACCAACUGAGCUAUGAAGGUGCUUAUAGAUGAAAAUGCAGAAAACAUAGUGGCUUCGGCGACACACUUUGCCAACACAACAAUCAAGCCACCUGGUCAAUGAAAAAGGUUGAACAGUGCAUAAAUCAAUGAAAUCUGGUGUUUGGAGCAGGAGUUGAAGCAGCGACCUUUGGACCACAGCGUUUCAGGAACUUCUUAAAGUCAUGUGCUCUACCAACUGAGCUAUGAAGGUGCUUAUAGAUAAAAACGCAGAAAACAUAGUGGCUUCGGCGACACACUUUGCCAACAUAACUAUUGAACCAACAUGGUCAAUGAAAAAGGAUGAACAGUGCAUAGACCAAUGAAAUGUGGUGUUUGGAGCUGGAGUUGAACCAGCGUCCUUUGGACCACAGGGUUUAAGGAACUUCUUAAAGUCAUGUGCUCUACCAACUGAGCUAUGAAGGUGCUUAUAGAUAAAAACGCAGAAAACAUAGUGGCUUCGGCGACACACUUUGCCAAAACAACAAUCAAGCCACCUGGUCAAUGAAAAAGGAUGAACAGUGCAUAGACCAAUGAAAUCUGGUGUUUGGAGCAGGAGUUGAACCAGCGACCUUUGGACCACAGCGUUUCGGGAACUUGUUAAAGUCAUGUGCUCUACCAACUGAGCUAUGAAGGUGCUUAUAGAUAAAAACGCAGAAAACAUAGUGGCUUCGGCGACACACUUUGCCAAAACAACAAUCAAGCCACCUGGUCAAUGAAAAAGGAUGAACAGUGCAUAUACAAAUGAAAUCUGGUGCUUGGAGCUGGAGUUGAACCAGCGACCUUUGGACCACAGCGUUUCAGGAACUUCUUAAAGUCAUGUGCUCUACCAACUGAGCUAUGAAGGUGCUUAUAGAUAAAAACGCAGAAAACAUAGUGGCUUCGGCGACACACUUUGCCAACAUAACUAUUGAACCAACAUGGUCAAUGAAAAAGGUUGAACAGUGCAUACACCAAUGAAAUCUGGUGUUUGGAGCUGGAGUUGAACCAGCGUCCUUUGGACCACAGCGUUUAAGGAACUUCUUAAAGUCAUGUGCUCUACCAACUGAGCUAUGAAGGUGCUUAUAGAUAAAAACGCAGAAAACAUAGUGGCUUCGGCGACACACUUUGCCAAAACAACAAUCAAGCCACCUGGUCAAUGAAAAAGGAUGAACAGUGCAUAUACAAAUGAAAUCUGGUGCUUGGAGCUGGAGUUGAACCAGGGACCUUUGGACCACAGCGUUUUAGGAACUUCUUAAAGUCAUGUGCUCUACCAACUGAGCUAUGAAGGUGCUUAUAGAUAGAAACGCAGAAAACAUAGUGGCUUCAGCGACACACUUUGCCAACAUAACUAUUGAACCAACAUGGUCAAUGAAAAAGGUUGAACAGUGCAUACACCAAUGAAAUCUGGUGUUUGGAGCUGGAGUUGAACCAGCGACCUUUGGACCACAGCGUUUCAGGAACUUCUUAAAGUCAUGUGCUCUACCAACUGAGCUAUGAAGGUGCUUAUAGAUAAAAACGCAGAAAACAUAGUGGCUUCGGCGACACACUUUGCCAAAACAACAAUCAAGCCACCUGGUCAAUGAAAAAGGAUGAACAGUGCAUAUACAAAUGAAAUCUGGUGUUUGGAGCAGGAGUUGAACCAGCGACCUUUGGACCACAGCGUUUCGGGAACUUCUUAAAGUCAUGUGCUCUACCAACUGAGCUAUGAAGGUGCUUAUAGAUAAAAACGCAGAAAACAUAGUGGCUUCGGCGACACACUUUGCCAAAACAACAAUCAAGCCACCUGGUCAAUGAAAAAGGAUGAACAGUGCAUAUACAAAUGAAAUCUGGUGCUUGGAGCUGGAGUUGAACCAGCGACCUUUGGACCACAGCGUUUUAGGAACUUCUUAAAGUCAUGUGCUCUACCAACUGAGCUAUGAAGGUGCUUAUAGAUAAAAACGCAGAAAACAUAGUGGCUUCGGCGACACACUUUGCAAACAUAACUAUUGAACCAACAUGGUCAAUGAAAAAGGUUGAACAGUGCAUACACCAAUGAAAUCUGGUGUUUGGAGCAGGAGUUGAAACAGCGUCCUUUGGACCACAGCGUUUCAGGAACUUCUUAAAGUCAUGUGCUCUACCAACUGAGCUAUGAAGGUGCUUAUGGACACAAACGCAGAAAACAUAGUGGCUUCGGCGACACACUUUGCCAACAAUACAAUUGGACCGACAUGGUCAAUGAAAAAGGUGUAACAGUGCAUAGACCAAUGAAAUCUGGUGUUUGGAGCAGGAGUUGAACCAGCGACCUUUGGACCACAGCGUUUCAGGAACUUCUUAAAGUCAUGUGCUCUACCAACUGAGCUAUGAAGGUGCUUAUAGAUAAAAACGCAGAAAACAUAGUGGCUUCGGCGACACACUUUGCCAACAUAACUAUUGAACCAACAUGGUCAAUGAAAAAGGUUGAACAGUGCAUAUACAAAUGAAAUCUGGUGUUUGGAGCUGGAGUUGAACCAGCGACCUUUGGACCACAGCGUUUCAGGAACUUCUUAAAGUCAUGUGCUCUACCAACUGAGCUAUGAAGGUGCUUAUAGAUAAAAACGCAGAAAACAUAGUGGCUUCGGCGACACACUUUGCCAACAUAACUAUUGAACCAACAUGGUCAAUGAAAAAGGUUGAACAGUGCAUACACCAAUGAAAUCUGGUGUUUGGAGCUGGAGUUGAACCAGCGUCCUUUGGACCACAGCGUUUAAGGAACUUCUUAAAGUCAUGUGCUCUACCAACUGAGCUAUGAAGGUGCUUAUAGAUAAAAACGCAGAAAACAUAGUGGCUUCGGCGACACACUUUGCCAACAAUACAAUUGGACCCACAUGGUCAAUGAAAAAGGUUGAACAGUGCUUAGACAAAUGAAAUCUGGUGUUUGGAGCAGGAGUUGAACCAGCGACCUUUGGACCACAGCGUUUCGGGAACUUCUUAAAGUCAUGUGCUCUACCAACUGAGCUAUGAAGGUGCUUAUAGAUAAAAACGCAGAAAACAUAGUGGCUUCGGCGACACACUUUGCCAAAACAACAAUCAAGCCACCUGGUCAAUGAAAAAGGAUGAACAGUGCAUAUACAAAUGAAAUCUGGUGCUUGGAGCUGGAGUUGAACCAGCGACCUUUGGACCACAGCGUUUUACGAAACUUCUUAAAGUCAUGUGCUCUACCAACUGAGCUAUGAAGGUGCUUAUAGAUUAAAACUUAGAAAACAUAGUGGCUUCGGCGACACACUUUGCCAACACAACAAUCAAGCCACCUGGUCAAUGAAAAAGGAUGAACAGUGCAUAUACAAAUGAAAUCUGGUGCUUGGAGCAAGAGUUGAACCAGCGACCUUUGGACCACAGCGUUUCAGGAACUUCUUAAAGUCAUGUGCUCUACCAACUGAGCUAUGAAGGUGCUUAUAGAUAAAAACGCAGAAAACAUAGUGGCUUCGGCGACACACUUUGCCAACAUAACUAUUGAACCAACAUGGUCAAUGAAAAAGGUUGAACAGUGCAUAUACAAAUGAAAUCUGGUGUUUGGAGCUGGAGUUGAACCAGCGACCUUUGGACCACAGCGUUUCAGGAACUUCUUAAAGUCAUGUGCUCUACCAACUGAGCUAUGAAGGUGCUUAUAGAUAAAAACGCAGAAAACAUAGUGGCUUCGGCGACACACUUUGCCAACAUAACUAUUGAACCAACAUGGUCAAUGAAAAAGGUUGAACAGUGCAUACACCAAUGAAAUCUGGUGUUUGGAGCUGGAGUUGAACCAGCGUCCUUUGGACCACAGCGUUUAAGGAACUUCUUAAAGUCAUGUGCUCUACCAACUGAGCUAUGAAGGUGCUUAUAGAUAAAAACGCAGAAAACAUAGUGGCUUCGGCGACACACUUUGCCAACAAUACAAUUGGACCCACAUGGUCAAUGAAAAAGGUUGAACAGUGCUUAGACAAAUGAAAUCUGGUGUUUGGAGCUGGAGUUGAACCAGCGACCUUUGGACCACAGCGUUUCAGGAACUUCUUAAAGUCAUGUGCUCUACCAACUGAGCUAUGAAGGUGCUUAUAGAUAAAAACGCAGAAAACAUAGUGGCUUCGGCGACACACUUUGCCAAAACAACAAUCAAGCCACCUGGUCAAUGAAAAAGGAUGAACAGAGCAUAUACAAAUGAAAUCUGGUGCUUGGAGCUGGAGUUGAACCAGGGACCUUUGGACCACAGCGUUUCAGGAACUUCUUACAGUCAUGUGCUCUACCAACUGAGCUAUGAAGGUGCUUAUAGAUGAAAACGCAGAAAACAUAGUGGCUUCGGCGACACACUUUGCCAACACAACAAUCAAGGCACCUGGUCAAUGAAAAAGGUUGAACAGUGCAUAAAUCAAUGAAAUCUGGUGUUUGGAGCAGGAGUUGAACCAGCGACCUUUGGACCACAGCAUUUCAGGAACUUCUUAAAGUCAUGUGCUCUACCAACUGAGCUAUGAAGGUGCUUAUAGAUAAAAACGCAGAAAACAUAGUGGCUUCGGCGACACACUUUGCCAAAACAACAAUCAAGCCACCUGGUCAAUGAAAAAGGAUGAACAGUGCAUAUACAAAUGACAACUGGAUGCUUGGAGCAGGAGUUGAACCAGCAACCUUUGGACCACAGCAUUUCAGGAACUUCUUAAAGUCAUGUGCUCUACCAACUGAGCUAUGAAGGUGCUUAUAGAUAAAAACGCAGAAAACAUAGUGGCUUCGGCGACACACUUUGCCAAAACAACAAUCAAGCCACCUGGUCAAUGAAAAAGGAUGAACAGUGCAUAUACAAAUGACAACUGGAUGCUUGGAGCUGGAGUUGAACCAGCGACCUUUGGACCACAGCGUUUCAGGAACUUCUUAAAGUCAUGUGCUCUACCAACUGAGCUAUGAAGGUGCUUAUAGAUAAAAACGCAGAAAACAUAGUGGCUUCGGCGACACACUUUGCCAAAACAACAAUCAAGCCACCUGGUCAAUGAAAAAGGAUGAACAGUGCAUAUACAAAUGAAAUCUGGUGCUUGGAGCUGGAGUUGAACCAGCGACCUUUGGACCACAGCGUUUCAGGAACUUCUUAAAGUCAUGUGCUCUACCAACUGAGCUAUGAAGGUGCUUAUAGAUAAAAACGCAGAAAACAUAGUGGCUUCGGCGACACACUUUGCCAACAUAACUAUUGAACCAACAUGGUCAAUGAAAAAGGUUGAACAGUGCAUAGACCAAUGAAAUGUGGUGUUUGGAGCAGGAGUUGAACCAGCGUCCUUUGGACCACAGCGUUUCAGGAACUUCUUAAAGUCAUGUGCUCUACCAACUGAGCUAUGAAGGUGCUUAUAGACACAAACGCAGAAAACAUAGUGGCUUCGGCGACACACUUUGCCAACAAUACAAUUGGACCCACAUGGUCAAUGAAACAGGUUGAACAGUGCAUAGACCAAUGAAAUCUGGUGUUUGGAGCAGGAGUUGAACCAGCGACCUUUGGACCACAGCGUUUCAGGAACUUCUUAAAGUCAUGUGCUCUACCAACUGAGCUAUGAAGGUGCUUAUAGAUAAAAACGCAGAAAACAUAGUGGCUUCGGCGACACACUUUGCCAACAUAACUAUUGAACCAACAUGGUCAAUGAAAAAGGUUGAACAGUGCUUAGACAAAUGAAAUCUGGUGUUUGGAGCUGGAGUUGAACCAGCGACCUUUGGACAACAGCGUUUCAGGAACUUCUUAAAGUCAUGUGCUCUACCAACUGAGCUAUGAAGGUGCUUAUAGAUAAAAACGCAGAAAACAUAGUGGCUUCGGCGACACACUUUGCCAACAUAACUAUUGAACCAACAUGGUCAAUGAAAAAGGUUGAACAGUGCAUACACCAAUGAAAUCUGGUGUUUGGAGCUGGAGUUGAACCAGCGUCCUUUGGACCACAGCGUUUAAGGAACUUCUUAAAGUCAUGUGCUCUACCAACUGAGCUAUGAAGGUGCUUAUAGAUAAAAACGCAGAAAACAUAGUGGCUUCGGCGACACACUUUGCCAAAACAACAAUCAAGCCACCUGGUCAAUGAAAAAGGAUGAACAGUGCAUAUACAAAUGAAAUCUGGUGCUUGGAGCUGGAGUUGAACCAGCGACCUUUGGACCACAGCGUUUCAGGAACUUCUUAAAGUCAUGUGCUCUACCAACUGAGCUAUGAAGGUGCUUAUAGAUAAAAACGCAGAAAACAUAGUGGCUUCGGCGACACACUUUGCCAACAUAACUAUUGAACCAACAUGGUCAAUGAAAAAGGUUGAACAGUGCAUAGACCAAUGAAAUGUGGUGUUUGGAGCAGGAGUUGAACCAGCGUCCUUUGGACCACAGCGUUUCAGGAACUUCUUAAAGUCAUGUGCUCUACCAACUGAGCUAUGAAGGUGCUUAUAGACACAAACGCAGAAAACAUAGUGGCUUCGGCGACACACUUUACCAACAAUACAAUUGGACCCACAUGGUCAAUGAAAAAGGUUGAACAGUGCAUAGACCAAUGAAAUCUGGUGUUUGGAGCAGGAGUUGAACCAGCGACCUUUGGACCACAGCGUUUCAGGAACUUCUUAAAGUCAUGUGCUCUACCAACUGAGCUAUGAAGGUGCUUAUAGAUAAAAACGCAGAAAACAUAGUGGCUUCGGCGACACACUUUGCCAACAUAACUAUUGAACCAACAUGGUCAAUGAAAAAGGUUGAACAGUGCAUAGACCAAUGAAAUGUGGUGUUUGGAGCAGGAGUUGAACCAGCGUCCUUUGGACCACAGCGUUUCAGGAACUUCUUAAAGUCAUGUGCUCUACGAACUGAGCUAUGAAGGUGCUUAUAGACACAAACGCAGAAAACAUAGUGGCUUCGGCGACACACUUUGCCAACAAUACAAUUGGACCCACAUGGUCAAUGAAAAAGGUUGAACAGUGCAUAGACCAAUGAAAUCUGGUGUUUGGAGCAGGAGUUGAACCAGCGACCUUUGGACCACAGCGUUUCAGGAACUUCUUAAAGUCAUGUGCUCUACCAACUGAGCUAUGAAGGUGCUUAUAGAUAAAAACGCAGAAAACAUAGUGGCUUCGGCGACACACUUUGCCAACAUAACUAUUGAACCAACAUGGUCAAUGAAAAAGGUUGAACAGUGCAUACACCAAUGAAAUCUGGUGUUUGGAGCUGGAGUUGAACCAGCGUCCUUUGGACCACAGCGUUUAAGGAACUUCUUAAAGUCAUGUGCUCUACCAACUGAGCUAUGAAGGUGCUUAUAGAUAAAAACGCAGAAAACAUAGUGGCUUCGGCGACACACUUUGCCAACAAUACAAUUGGACCCACAUGGUCAAUGAAAAAGGUUGAACAGUGCUUAGACAAAUGAAAUCUGGUGUUUGGAGCUGGAGUUGAACCAGCGACCUUUGGACCACAGCGUUUCAGGAACUUCUUACAGUCAUGUGCUCUACCAACUGAGCUAUGAAGAUGCUUAUAGAUAAAAACGCAGAAAACAUAGUGGCUUCGGCGACACACUUUGCCAAAACAACAAUCAAGCCACCUGGUCAAUGAAAAAGGAUGAACAGUGCAUAUACAAAUGAAAUCUGGUGCUUGGAGCUGGAGUUGAACCAGGGACCUUUGGACAACAGCGUUUCAGGAACUUCUUACAGUCAUGUGCUCUACCAACUGAGCUAUGAAGGUGCUUAUAGAUGAAAACGCAGAAAACAUAGUGGCUUCGGCGACACACUUUGCCAACACAACAAUCAAGCCACCUGGUCAAUGAAAAAGGUUGAACAGUGCAUAAAUCAAUGAAAUCUGGUGUUUGGAGCAGGAGUUGAACCAGCGACCUUUGGACCACAGCAUUUCAGGAACUUCUUAAAGUCAUGUGCUCUACCAACUGAGCUAUGAAGGUGCUUAUAGAUAAAAACGCAGAAAACAUAGUGGCUUCGGCGACACACUUUGCCAAAACAACAAUCAAGCCACCUGGUCAAUGAAAAAGGUUGAACAGUGCAUAUACAAAUGACAACUGGAUGCUUGGAGCUGGAGUUGAACCAGCGACCUUUGGACCACAGCGUUUCAGGAACUUCUUAAAGUGAUGUGCUCUACCAACUGAGCUAUGAAGGUGCUUAUAGACACAAACGCAGAAAACAUAGUGGCUUCGGCGACACACUUUGCCAACAAUACAAUUGGACCCACAUGGUCAAUGAAAAAGGUUGAACAGUGCAUAGACCAAUGAAAUCUGGUGUUUGGAGCUGGAGUUGAACCAGCGACCUUUGGACCACAGCGUUUCAGGAACUUCUUAAAGUCAUGUGCUCUACCAACUGAGCUAUGAAGGUGCUUAUAGAUAAAAACGCAGAAAACAUAGUGGCUUCGGCGACACACUUUGCCAAAACAACAAUCAAGCCACCUGGUCAAUGAAAAAGGAUGAACAGUGCAUAUACAAAUGAAAUCUGGUGCUUGGAGCUGGAGUUGAACCAGAGACCUUUGGACCACAGCGUUUCAGGAACUUCUUAAAGUCAUGUGCUCUACCAACUGAGCUAUGAAGGUGCUUAUAGAUAAAAACGCAGAAAACAUAGUGGCUUCGGCGACACACUUUGCCAACACAACAAUGAAGCAACCUGGUCAAUGAAAAAGGUUGAACAGUGCAUAGACCAAUAAAAUCUGGUGUUUGGAGCAGGAGUUGAACAAGCGACCUUUGGACCACAGCGUUUCAGGAACUUCUUAAAGUCAUGUGCUCUACCAACUGAGCUAUGAAGGUGCUUAUAGAUAAAAACGCAGAAAACAUAGUGGCUUCGGCGACACACUUUGCCAAAACAACAAUCAAGCCACCUGGUCAAUGAAAAAGGAUGAACAGUGCAUAUACAAAUGAAAUCUGGUGCUUGGAGGUGGAGUUGAACCAGGGACCUUUGGACCACAGCGU
RNAcentral lists this long non-coding RNA (22882 nucleotides) under Xyrichtys novacula (pearly razorfish). Lineage: Eukaryota; Metazoa; Chordata; Actinopteri; Labriformes; Labridae. The record is from RNAcentral.